CGGGAAACCGGAGCUAAUACCGGAUAACACCGAAGACCGCAUGGUCUUUGGUUGAAAGGCGGCCUUUGGCUGUCACUUGCGGAUGGGCCCGCGGCGCAUUAGCUAGUUGGUGAGGUAACGGCUCACCAAGGCGACGAUGCGUAGCCGGCCUGAGAGGGUGACCGGCCACACUGGGACUGAGACACGGCCCAGACUCCUACGGGAGGCAGCAGUAGGGAAUCUUCCGCAAUGGGCGAAAGCCUGACGGAGCGACGCCGCGUGAGCGAAGAAGGCCUUCGGGUCGUAAAGCUCUGUUGUGAGGGACGAAGGAGCGCCGUUUGAACAAGGCGGCGCGGUGACGGUACCUCACGAGAAAGCCCCGGCUAACUACGUGCCAGCAGCCGCGGUAAUACGUAGGGGGCGAGCGUUGUCCGGAAUUAUUGGGCGUAAAGCGCGCGCAGGCGGCUCCUUAAGUCUGAUGUGAAAGCCCACGGCUCAACCGUGGAGGGUCAUUGGAAACUGGGGAGCUUGAGUGCAGGAGAGGGGAGCGGAAUUCCACGUGUAGCGGUGAAAUGCGUAGAGAUGUGGAGGAACACCAGUGGCGAAGGCGGCUCUCUGGCCUGUAACUGACGCUGAGGCGCGAAAGCGUGGGGAGCAAACAGGAUUAGAUACCC
RNAcentral lists this ribosomal RNA (653 nucleotides) under Geobacillus sp. KS02. Its description in RNAcentral is "bacterial SSU rRNA". It matches the Rfam family "Bacterial small subunit ribosomal RNA", at positions 150 to 787 of the family's 1533-position model. The record is from RNAcentral. Lineage: Bacteria; Bacillati; Bacillota; Bacilli; Caryophanales; Anoxybacillaceae.